Molecule: ribosomal RNA, 460 nt
Filed under: uncultured bacterium
Lineage: Bacteria
Description: partial 16S ribosomal RNA
Rfam family: Bacterial small subunit ribosomal RNA
Source: RNAcentral
CCUACGGGUGGCUGCAGUGAGGAAUAUUGGUCAAUGGGCGUAAGCCUGAACCAGCCAAGUCGCGUGAGGGAUGAAGGUUCUAUGGAUCGUAAACCUCUUUUAUCAGGGAGUAAAGUGUGGGACGUGUCCUAUUUUGUAUGUACCUUAUGAAUAAGGAUCGGCUAACUCCGUGCCAGCAGCCGCGGUAAUACGGAGGAUCCGAGCGUUAUCCGGAUUUAUUGGGUUUAAAGGGUGCGUAGGCGGCCUUUUAAGUCAGCGGUGAAAGUCUGUGGCUCAACCACAGACUUGCCGUUGAAACUGGGGGGCUUGAGUAUGUUUGAGGCAGGCGGAAUGCGUGGUGUAGCGGUGAAAUGCGUAGAUAUCACGCAGAACCCCGAUUGCGAAGGCAGCCUGCCAGGCCAUGACUGACGCUGAUGCACGAAAGCGUGGGGAUCAAACAGGAUUAGAUACCCUAGUAGUC